UACGAGGGGGGCGAGCGUUAUUCAAAAUGACUGGGCGUAACGAGCAUGUAGACGGUUUAUUAAGUUGGUUUUCAAUUUUAAAAUUGAGAAAACAUUAUUGUUUUAAUUCUUUUUUAUUUUCAUAAAAAAGAAAUAAAACAAUUUUUUGUGUUAUAAAUUCCAAAGCUCAACUUUGGUAAGUGACCCAAUACUAGUAAACUAGAGUAAGUAAGAGGAAAGUGGAAUUCCUGGAGGAGAGAUAAAAUUUGUAGAUAUCAGGAGGAACAUCGAAAGCGAAGGCAAUUUUCUGGUACUUUACUCACGUUGAGAUGCAAAAGCGUGAAGAGCAAACGGC
Molecule: ribosomal RNA, 334 nt
Filed under: uncultured bacterium
Lineage: Bacteria
Description: partial 16S ribosomal RNA
Rfam family: Bacterial small subunit ribosomal RNA
Source: RNAcentral